GUGGGGAAUUUUUCGCAAUGGGGGCAACCCUGACGAAGCAACGCCGCGUGGAGGAUGAAGGCCUUCGGGUCGUAAACUCCUGUCGACCGGGACGAAUGUACGCGACCUAAUACGUCGACGUAUUGACGGUACCGGUGGAGGAAGCCACGGCUAACUCUGUGCCAGCAGCCGCGGUAAUACAGAGGUGGCUAGCGUUGUUCGGAAUUACUGGGCGUAAAGGGCGCGUAGGCGGCUUCGUAAGUCCUGUGUGAAAUCCCCCGGCUCAACUGGGGAACUGCACAGGAGACUGCGAGGCUCGAGUUCAGGAGAGGGAAGCGGAAUUCCGGGUGUAGCGGUGAAAUGCGUAGAUAUCCGGAGGAACACCGGUGGCGAAGGCGGCUUCCUGGACUGACACUGACGCUGAGGCGCGAAAGCUAGGGUAGCAAACGGGAUUAGAUACCCGAGUAGUCC
RNAcentral lists this ribosomal RNA (450 nucleotides) under uncultured bacterium. RNAcentral's name for it is "bacterial SSU rRNA". It matches the Rfam family "Bacterial small subunit ribosomal RNA", at positions 354 to 796 of the family's 1533-position model. The record is from RNAcentral.